UAGGUGAACUCUGCGGAAGGAUCAUU
RNAcentral lists this ribosomal RNA (26 nucleotides) under Hoya spartioides. Its description in RNAcentral is "partial 18S ribosomal RNA". Lineage: Eukaryota; Viridiplantae; Streptophyta; Magnoliopsida; Gentianales; Apocynaceae. The record is from RNAcentral.